CGUAGGGGCAAGCGUUGUCCGGAAUCAUUGGGCGUAAAAGCGCGUGUAGGCGGCCUUGUAAGUCCGUUCUAGAAAGUCCGGGCUCAACCCCGGGAGGCGGAUGGAUACUGGCAAGGCUCGAGUACGGAAGAGGCGAGUGGAAUUCCCGGUGUAGCGGUGAAAUGCGCAGAUAUCGGGAGGAACACCAAUGGCGAAGGCAGCUCGCGUGGGACGUUACUGACGCUGAGACGCGAAAGCGUGGGGAGCAAACAGGAUU
This 256-nucleotide ribosomal RNA is filed under the name uncultured bacterium. Its description in RNAcentral is "partial 16S ribosomal RNA". It matches the Rfam family "Bacterial small subunit ribosomal RNA", at positions 526 to 779 of the family's 1533-position model. The record is from RNAcentral.